GGAUCAAUCAUGGCAA
This 16-nucleotide unclassified non-coding RNA is filed under the name synthetic construct. The record is from RNAcentral.